GGAUGUGAGGGCGAUCUGGCUGCGACAUCUGUCACCCCAUUGAUCGCCAGGGUUGAUUCGGCUGAUCUGGCUGGCUAGGUGGGUGUCCCCUUCCUCCCUCACUGCUCCAUGUGCGUCCCUCCCGAAGCUGCGUGCUCGGUCUAAGGGGACGACCAUCCCCGAUAGAGGAGGACCGUUCUUCCGUCAAGGGUAUACGAGUAGCUGCACUCCCCUGCUAGAACCUCCAAACAAGCUCUCUCAAAGAAAGCUACACAGGGAGUUUCAUUAUGAUAUUUUCAUGUUUAUAUGUAUUAUAA
This 296-nucleotide small nuclear RNA is filed under the name Castor canadensis (American beaver). Its description in RNAcentral is "7SK RNA (ENSCCNG00000014472.1)". It matches the Rfam family "7SK RNA". From Rfam's summary of the family: 7SK was discovered as an abundant small nuclear RNA in the mid-70s but a possible function has only recently been suggested. Two independent studies have found that 7SK RNA binds the CDK9/cyclin T complex (known as elongation factor P-TEFb). The record is from RNAcentral. Lineage: Eukaryota; Metazoa; Chordata; Mammalia; Rodentia; Castoridae.